AUAGGCAAGUCCCCUCAAAUUGUUUUUCUAAAUAGACAUGUAAGGUAGAGAGAUAUCCAGAUGCUCUAUAAUAAAUAAACAGGAAAAAUUGGAAAUUAGUACUCAUUUGCUGUUCGUACAUAUACAUAAUGCUAAAGUUUUUAAAUAGUUGUCCUUAUAAUAACAUUAUUGAUUGUUUUUCUAACUAUGUUUGCCUUUUACAUGGAUAGUGAAAACAUUAACUUUAUCUCAGCCUAUUUGAAUUGCAAUGGUUUUAAAUAGAAUCUUUAAAAUAACUUCAUUAUUCUAUUAGUUAACUACUGGUCAGAAUGUUAGUUUUUCAGACAGCACAUUGUUUUGGAGAAUUUAAAUUAAUGAAAUGCAUUUUCCGAUCAUAGAAGGAAUAUUGAGAGAACACUUGAAAAUUUCAAGUCUAGUCAACACUGGUUCCAGUUUUUUUGUUUUUUUUUUAAUCACUACUCCUUUCUGUAUUACUUUUGUGAGAAGACCUUAACACUAAUUUGAAAUGAAAUUUUGUAUUCUCCUAAUGACUAGGGACUGAAGUGUUUAAAUAACCUUUUUCAUCCCCAGGGAGAUGACUGCUGUAGGUCAGUCUUGAGGUCAUUGGCUGAAGAGUUACAAAGAAAGUCAUAGUUUUGGCUGAAGAUAUAGUAAAUUGGACUACGAUAAAGCUGAUGCUUCCUCUGAGAUGAAAGAGAAAAAUAUUCAAUCCUCUCCUCUGAACAUAAAUAAACAUUGGCUAUAGUUAGCCAGUUUGGGUGGGUUGGAGUUUAAAAUAUUUCUAAAUUUGGUACACAUUACCAUAUGUAGUCAGGUUAAAGCUACUGAUGUCUGGGAACAUUUCUGGGAAAACAGAAGUAUAUCCAAGAAAAGAUAAAGAAUCUUAGAACUGUAGAGAUGGAAGCCCUAUGGUGGUCCAUUCUCCUGUGUCUAGAAAGGAUGACAAAGAGUCCAUAAUAAGUAGAAACUCUCUUUGGAGAACUGAAGGAAGAGUGUUUCUGCAGCUUCUUGCUGUAAUGAACUUUCAUUCAGCCUUUGCAUAAAAGAACCUGAUGAAAAGUGGGAAUUUGCAUGAUUAUGGUAAUCAGUGUUACCCUAUCUUGAAAACUCUGUCUUGUCAAUGUCCCCUUAAGAUAUUAAUGUUCCAGGGCUUCCCUGGGGGCGCAGUGGUUGAGAGUCCGCCUGCCGAUGCAGGGGACACGGGUUCGUGCCCCGGUCCGGGAAGAUCCCACAUGCCGCGGAGCGGCUGGGCCCGUGAACCAUGGCCGCUGAGCCUGCGCGUCCGGAGCCUGUGCUCCACAACGGGAGGGGCCACAACAGUGAGAGGCCCACGUACCGCAAAAAAAAAAAAAAAAAAAAAAAAGAUAUUAAUGUUCCAUAUGUGAUGUAUUCAAAGUUCAGAGAAAUUGUACCCUCUUAUCUGCUCACUAAACAUCUAUUAAUGAAGCCCAGUUAUGGUAGUUUUGGGGGCAAUUAUUUACCCUAUUGGUUUCUACUAAUCAUGUGAUCUUUUAUUUUUCUUUUUUCAGUAUACCAACAGCAAUGAUGACCUUUAUUUUCAAAUCAUGGACAAUCAGAGAAAUGGUAAAUGAAGAAAUAAGAAACCAAUUAUAAGACAUUAGCUGCCUGAGAAAGUCCAGGAACAUCUUCUCACUGGAAGAUUCUCAACAUGUCCUUGUGGACAUUUGGGGAAUGGGCACCAAAUCAAUCCCUGCUCUCUCCUGUUCCGUGAUGUGGCCUAUUUCUGGGCCCUCAUCCCUUCAUAUUCAGUAUGAAUUUUGGUUUUAUCUCUUAUAAUGGAACUGAAAAUUAAAAUACUUCAGAGUCCAACUUUGAGGAGCGAGGCAAUAAGUGGAUGAAGGGAUACCUACAAAGAUCUUCUCUCAAAAUACAACUGCAGCCACUUUCCAUUGGGGAGGAUAAGAUGGAGUGCAGAAGUCAGCAGAGAGCUGUCCCUGGAAUCCUACAGGACGUGGCCAGAGACGACACAGGGCAUCUUUACUUCAUGGACCCUCUGCAUUUACUUUCUGGUUUUUAUUGAGGAAUUUUACCUCAAAUUAUUAUAUUUUUCUCAUUACAUAUGUUUUCAAAUAAGUAGGAAAAAUUAGUACAUGCAUAUGGUUUAAAAAAAUCAAGUAGUACAAAAACAGUACAGUGAGAAGUCUUCCUUUAACUGCAGAUUCCAGUCCCUAGAGGCAGACACUCCUGAAAUAUUCUGUCUAUAAAAGCACGUAUUGGGUUGGCCAAAAUGUUCAUUCGUUUUUUUCUGUAAGAUGCCUCUAGUAGCACUUAGUUGUCUUUAACUUCAUUCGAAACAAUUUUGUUAGAUUGUAUUGUGACAGCUGUCGUAUCAGCGUGUAUUUUAAAAAAAUUAUCAAUAUUGGUGAAUUUUUGUGUAACCCUUUUAAUAUUGAAGUUGGAAGAAAAAAGCAACAUUUUCGGCAUAUUAUGCUUUCUAAUUCCAAGAAAGGUUAAAACGCAACUGAAACGCAAAAAAAGAUUUGUGCAGUGUAUGGAGAAGGUGCUGUGACUGAUUGAAUGUGUCAAAACUGGUUUGCUGGAGAUUUCUCACUGGACGAUGCUCCACAGUCUGGUAGACCAGUUGAAGUUGAUAGUGAUCAAAUUGAGACAUUAACUGAGAACAAUCAAUGUUACACCAUGCGGGAGAUAGCUGACAUACUCAAAAUAUCCAAAUCAAACGUUGAAAUCAUUUGCACCAGGUUGGUCAUGUGAAUCACUUUGAUAUUUGGGUUCCUCAUAAGUUAAGCGAAAAAAACCUUCUUGACUGUAUUUCCGCAUACAGUUCUCUAUAUACAUAAUCUACAUAACGAAAACGUUCCGUUUUGAAAACAAAUUGUGAUGGGCAAUGAAAAGUGGAUACUGUCCAAUAAUGUGGAAUGGAAGAGAUCAUGGGGCAAGUGAAAUGAACAACCACCAACCACGCUAAAGGCUGGUCUUCAUCCAAAGAAGGUGAUGUUAUGUAUAUGGUGGGAUUGAAAGGGAGUCCUCUAUUAUGAGCUCCUUCCGGAAAACCAAACGAUUAAUUCCAGCAAGUACUGCUCCCAAUUAGAUCAACUGAAAGCAGUACUCGAUGAAUAGUGUCUGGAAUUAGUCAACAGAAAAUGGAUAAUCUUCCAUCAGGAUAACGCAAGACCACAUGUUUCUUUGAUGACCAGGCAAAAACUGUUAGAGCUUGGCUGGGAAGUUCUGAUUCAUCUUCUGUGUUCACCAGAUAUUGCACCUUCGGAUUUCCAUUGAUUUCAGUCUUUACAAAAUUCUCUUAAUGGAAAAAAAUUCAAUUCCCUGGAAGACUGUAAAAUGCACCUAGAACAAUUCUCUGCUCAAAAAGAUAAAAAGUUUUGGGAAGAUGGAAUUAUGAAGUUGCCUGAAAAAUGGCAGAAGGUUGUGGAACAAAAGGGUGAAUAUGUUGUUCAAUCAAGUUCUUGGUGAAAAUGAAAAAUGUUAUCUUUUGUUUUUACUUAAAAACCAAAGGCAUUUUUCUGCCAACCCAAUAUAUAUUGCAGGCAUAUGCAUGUUUUCCCUUCAUGAAAAUGGAAGCAUGCUAAACACAUUGCAAUAUGCCUUACAUUUUUCACUUAUUUUCUACUUUUUCAGUAUACCUAGAUCAUUCCACAGCCAUGUAUAUAGAUUGACUUCAUUAAAAAAAAAAACUGCAAUAGUUCUUUAUAAAUUGCAUCUGGCAAUGAUGGGCUCUCAAAAAACAUUAAAUGAAUGACUCCACAUAGUUUCUUUCAUAAGCCUCUAAUGAAGACCAUUUUAUUGUUUAUUUCCAGUCUUUUGCAACCACAAGCAAAGCUGAAGUAUAUAUGUUCACACAUCUUUGUGCAUGUGUGUGAAUAUGUCUGUAGGAUAAAUUCCUAGACAAGAAAUUGCUGAAUUAAAAGAUACACUUAUUUCAAAUAUUGAAUGCUAUUGUUGAUCGAUCUCCCACCAGCAGUGAAAGAGAGUACCUGUUUCCUUCAACUCUCUAAUCCUAUAUGUUAAACUUUUUGACUGUACCCAUCUGAGAAAUAAAACAAUGUAUUUCUUUCCCUCGAAUGUUUUAUAUUUUGUUUAUAUAUUUUAAAAGGCUUCUUUAUGUAAAAAUUAUGUAUUAAUCUAUAUAUUUUAUUUAUAUUUCUUUUUCUAUGAACUACUUGUUCAUGUUCCUUUGCCAGUGAGUCGUUUCUCACUGAUAUUUAAGGUCUCUUUGUUUUUUAGUUUAACUUUGAUGUCACAGAUACUGCAUAAUUUCCCAGUUUGUCAUUUAUCUUUUUUUUUUUUUUUUUUUUUGCGGUACGCGGGCCUCUCACUGUUGUGGCCUCUUCCGUUGCGGAGCACAGGCUCCGGACGCGCAGGCUCAGCGGCCAUGGCUCACGGGCCCAGCCGCUCCGCGGCAUGUGGGAUCUUCCCGGACCGGGGCACGAACCCGCGUCCCCUGUAUCGGCAGGCGGACUCUCAACCACUGCGCCACCAGGGAAGCCCUGUCAUUUAUCUUUUGACUUGGGUUUAGAGCAGGGAGGGGGGCAGCACUAGUGGUGGAUACUUGUGUUAAAUUUAUAUAAUUGAAGGGUUUGUUCAUACAGCUUUCCCCAAACCAAGGAGCAUUCUGUCCCAAAGGUAAAUUCAGGUUCCUGCUUCUUACACAGUUGCUUUAAGAUGACAGGGGUUUUUUUCUGCUAGUUUUUGCACAUUAAAAAAAAAAAAAAAAGUGCCUUGAAUUGACGGUCAGGAUGUCCCCUU
Molecule: long non-coding RNA, 4743 nt
Organism: Orcinus orca (killer whale)
Lineage: Eukaryota; Metazoa; Chordata; Mammalia; Artiodactyla; Delphinidae
Exons: 2
Source: RefSeq, a predicted model, not a curated record